CUGCUAGAUUCCACAGCACAUAUGCUAAAAUUGCAAUAAUACAGAGAAUAUUAGCCUGGCCCCUGCACAAGGAUGACAUGAAAACUUAUUAAGAAAACCAAGAAAAA
Small nuclear RNA from Mesocricetus auratus (golden hamster), 107 nucleotides. NCBI's taxonomy places the organism in Eukaryota, Metazoa, Chordata, Mammalia, Rodentia, Cricetidae. The record is from Ensembl.